Molecule: long non-coding RNA, 293 nt
Organism: Varanus komodoensis (Komodo dragon)
Lineage: Eukaryota; Metazoa; Chordata; Lepidosauria; Squamata; Varanidae
Exons: 2
Source: RefSeq, a predicted model, not a curated record
GCUUCUUAAGCCCCGCCUCCACCGCCUUGCCAGAAAAGCUCCCCGCCCGGCAGAGCGCAUGCGUAAUGAAGAGCAGGCCGAGGGAACCGUUGCGGACACAAUUGUGUCCCUUUCUGCCAGACUCACCAAGUGAGGUUUUCUGUUCAAAAGGUCCGAAGUGGCUUACAACAGCAAAAUCUGUCCGUGGUUACCUUUGUCUGAAAGGUGGGCUCUGCGUCUUUAACAAGAAAAUAUUUUAAGCAUCUUUUGUUCCUAUUUUUCAACUCUUAGUAAAAGUAUGCAUUUUCUAAUCA